Long non-coding RNA from Mya arenaria, 289 nucleotides. RefSeq lists it as uncharacterized. The record is from RefSeq and is a predicted model, not a curated record. The transcript is spliced from 3 exons. Lineage: Eukaryota; Metazoa; Mollusca; Bivalvia; Myida; Myidae.
GUGACGUUGAAUGCUUCAACACUUUGCUGUAAUAACUGGGGCUUUAAGCCGUCAAUUUUAGAGAGCUAAUGGAUUUUGUCUUGGAUUAAUUUCUGACGAACAGUAGCCAAGUGUACUGUGCACUAGAUAACGUGCGGAUAAUUUUCCUCGAGAGUCUGACAAGCGAGGUAUCUGAAAACAUUCACAGUUUUCGCUUAUGCAGACAACUGACGCAAGAAAGUAGAUAUAACAAUAUCAGACAGACGGCCAUUAUCUUAGAAUCUCAAAAAUGGAAGAUCCGGCAGUAGUU